GGGGCUAAGCUAUAUACCGAAGCUGCGGACGCGUGCGCUCCUUUAAGUGCACCAAGCUUGUCGAUGCGCAGCAUCGACAAAGCCGCCAACAAUGAUCGUUGGUGGUGAUGCUAGUGGAUUUAAAGGAGCGUACGCGUGGUAGGAGAGCGUUCUGUAAGCCUGUGAAGGUGUCUUGUAAAGGAUGCUGGAGGUAUCAGAAGUGCGAAUGCUGACAUGAGUAGCGAUAAAGGGGGUGAAAGGCCCCCUCGCCGUAAGCCCAAGGUUUCCUACGCAACGUUCAUCGGCGUAGGGUGAGUCGGCCCCUAAGGCGAGGCAGAGAUGCGUAGCUGAUGGGAAGCAGGUUAAUAUUCCUGCACCGUCGUAUGAUGCGAUGGGGGGACGGAUCGCGGAAGGUUGUCCGGGUGUUGGAAGUCCCGGUCCCUGCAUUGGAGAAGGCGCUUUGGCAAAUCCGGGCGCGGAAUUCAAGGAUGCGGGGCGAGCGGCCUAGUGCUGCGAAGCAAUUGGAAGUGGUUCCAAGAAAAGCCUCUAAGCUUCAGUCAUACGAGACCGUACCGCAAACCGACACAGGUGGGCGAGAUGAGUAUUCUAAGGCGCUUGAGAGAACUCGGGAGAAGGAACUCGGCAAAUUGGUACCGUAACUUCGGGAUAAGGUACGCCCUGGUAGCUUGACUGGCCUGCGCCAGAAGGGUGACGGGGUUGCAAUAAAAUGGUGGCUGCGACUGUUUAAUAAAAACACAGCACUCUGCAAACACGAAAGUGGACGUAUAGGGUGUGACGCCUGCCCGGUGCCGGAAGAUUAAAUGAUGGGGUGCAAGCUCUUGAUUGAAGUCCCGGUAAACGGCGGCCGUAACUAUAACGGUCCUAAGGUAGCGAAAUUCCUUGUCGGGUAAGUUCCGACCUGCACGAAUGGCGUAACGAUGGCCACACUGUCUCCUCCCGAGACUCAGCGAAGUUGAAGUGUUUGUGAUGAUGCAAUCUCCCCGCGGCUAGACGGAAAGACCCCAUGAACCUUUACUGUAGCUUUGCAUUGGACUUUGAACCGAUCUGUGUAGGAUAGGUGGGAGGCUUUGAAGCGUGGACGCUAGUUCACGUGGAGCCGUCCUUGAAAUACCACCCUGGUUUGUUUGAGGUUCUAACCUUGACCCGUGAAUCCGGGUCGGGGACAGUGCAUGGUAGGCAGUUUGACUGGGGCGGUCUCCUCCCAAAGUGUAACGGAGGAGUUCGAAGGUACGCUUGGUACGGUCGGACAUCGUACCUAAAGUGCAAUGGCAAAAGCGUGCUUAACUGCGAGACCGACAAGUCGAGCAGGUGCGAAAGCAGGACAUAGUGAUCCGGUGGUUCUGAAUGGAAGGGCCAUCGCUCAACGGAUAAAAGGUACUCUGGGGAUAACAGGCUGAUACCGCCCAAGAGUUCAUAUCGACGGCGGUGUUUGGCACCUCGAUGUCGGCUCAUCUCAUCCUGGGGCUGUAGCCGGUCCCAAGGGUAUGGCUGUUCGCCAUUUAAAGAGGUACGUGAGCUGGGUUUAAAACGUCGUGAGACAGUUUGGUCCCUAUCUGCCGUGGGCGUUGGAAUCUUGACGGGGGCUGCUCCUAGUACGAGAGGACCGGAGUGGACGUACCGCUGGUGUACCUGUUGUCUCGCCAGAGGCAUCGCAGGGUAGCUAUGUACGGAAGAGAUAACCGCUGAAAGCAUCUAAGCGGGAAACUCGCCUGAAGAUGAGGAUUCCCUGGAGGCUUGACCUCCUUGAAGGGUCGUUCGAGACCAGGACGUUGAUAGGCUGGGUGUGGAAGCGCAGUAAUGCGUUAAGCUAACCAGUACUAAUUGCCCGUAAGGCUUGAUCCU
RNAcentral lists this ribosomal RNA (1842 nucleotides) under Cupriavidus necator. RNAcentral describes it as "bacterial LSU rRNA". It matches the Rfam family "Bacterial large subunit ribosomal RNA", at positions 1177 to 2925 of the family's 2925-position model. The record is from RNAcentral. Lineage: Bacteria; Pseudomonadati; Pseudomonadota; Betaproteobacteria; Burkholderiales; Burkholderiaceae.